Molecule: unclassified non-coding RNA, 282 nt
Filed under: uncultured Ustilaginaceae
Lineage: Eukaryota; Fungi; Basidiomycota; Ustilaginomycetes; Ustilaginales; Ustilaginaceae
Description: sequence contains ITS2
Source: RNAcentral
AUUGUUUCGAACGACAACUUUUUUCACAAAGAGUUGGCGGAUCGGUAUUGAGGGUUUUGCCAUUCACCGUGGCUCUCUCGAAAUGCAUUAGCGCAUCCAUUUGAUAGGCAAGACGGACGAAAGCUCCUCUUUCGCUCUCUCUUCCCUGCCGGGUUUUGAUAAUAUCAGGACUUCGGAGAGGUUGAGAUGGGUACGGAGCUGGACGCAACGGCUUGCUGUUUGGAGUGCUUCUGAAACCCGCCCAUGUCGAGCUUUUUUGCUCGAAAGGGAUUUACUAAUUCA